Long non-coding RNA from Oncorhynchus keta (chum salmon), 1215 nucleotides. RefSeq lists it as uncharacterized. The record is from RefSeq and is a predicted model, not a curated record. The transcript is spliced from 3 exons. NCBI's taxonomy places the organism in Eukaryota, Metazoa, Chordata, Actinopteri, Salmoniformes, Salmonidae.
GGUAAAUUCAAUUGAUUGGACAUGAUUUGGAAAGGCACACACCUGUCUAUAUAAAGGUCCCACAGUUGACAGUGCAUGUCAGAGCAAAAACCAAGUCAUGAGGUCGAAGGAAUUGUCCGUAGAGCUCAGAGACAGGAUUGUGUCGAGGCACAGAUCUGGGUGAAAGGAACAAAACAUUACUGCAGCAUUGAAGGUCCCCAAGAACACAGUGGCCUCCAUCAUUCUGCAGCAUUGAAGGUCCCCAAGAACACAGUGGCCUCCAUCAUUCUGCAGCAUUAAAGGUCCCCAAGAACACAGUGGCCUCCAUCAUUCUGCAGCAUUAAAGGUCCCCAAGAACACAGUGGCCUCCAUCAUUCUGCAGCAUUGAAGGUCCCCAAGAACACAGUGGCCUCCAUCAUUCUGCAGCAUUAAAGGUCCCCAAGAACACAGUGGCCUCCAUCAUUCUGCAGCAUUAAAGGUCCCCAAGAACACAGUGGCCUCCAUCAUUCUGCAGCAUUGAAGGUCCCCAAGAACACAGUGGCCUCCAUCAUUCUGCAGCAUUAAAGGUCCCCAAGAACACAGUGGCCUCCAUCAUUCUGCAGCAUUGAAGGUCCCCAAGAACACAGUGGCCUCCAUCAUUCUGCAGCAUUAAAGGUCCCCAAGAACACAGUGGCCUCCAUCAUUCUGCAGCAUUAAAGGUCCCCAAGAACACAGUGGCCUCCAUCAUUCUGCAGCAUUAAAGGUCCCCAAGAACACAGUGGCCUCCAUCAUUCUGCAGCAUUAAAGGUCCCCAAGAACACAGUGGCCUCCAUCAUUCUGCAGCAUUAAAGGUCCCCAAGAACACAGUGGCCUCCAUCAUUCUGCAGCAUUAAAGGUCCCCAAGAACACAGUGGCCUCCAUCAUUCUGCAGCAUUAAAGGUCCCCAAGAACACAGUGGCCUCCAUCAUUCUGCAGCAUUAAAGGUCCCCAAGAACACAGUGGCCUCCAUCAUUCUGCAGCAUUGAAGGUCCCCAAGAACACAGUGGCCUCCAUCAUUCUGCAGCAUUAAAGGUCCCCAAGAACACAGUGGCCUCCAUCAUUCUGCAGCAUUGAAGGUCCCCAAGAACACAGUGGCCUCCAUCAUUCUGCAGCAUUAAAGGUCCCCAAGAACACAGUGGCCUCCAUCAUUCUGCAGCAUUGAAGGUCCCCCAGAACACAGUGGCCUCCAUCAUUCUGCAGCAUUGAAGGUCCCCAAGA